CGGCACCCUCAGCCCCGCAUGGCGCCGGCUUCAUCCCUGCCCUGUGCCGGGGAGACAUCGCUCCUUUGGUCUCUGAGGUGGGACAGUGGCUGUGGAGAAGGCCGGGGUGCCGCUGCAGCGGCGCAGGGCACCACGGGCUCCUCAGGCCCAGCAGGCCGGCUGCUCCCAGCGGAGUCUGCCUCAGACGAGGAGACAAGAGGGAACCCGGCUGCCCCACGGAGCGGCCACAGGCACCAGGGCUGAUCUGAGAAUUCGAGAGGAAGGCAACAGCACAGGGAGAGAACUGAGCUGACCCUUUUUUCCCCUCACCAUUCACAUGCUCACAGAUUUUUAUCAGGCUUUUUAGCUGCAGGGCAAAGUGUUUCUUUAUAGUUCCUUCCAAAGCAAAGCUGCUGCCAGAUCUAGGCUGCGGCUUCAGCAGCUGUAUCCCAUCCCCCAGGCCUGCACGGCCCUGCUCGGGAGGGCCUGGGAGCCUUGCACGGGCCUGGCGGGAGGAGGGUUUGUGGACCCCGGUAGGGGCUCAGUGCCGGGGGCAUUUCCUGAGGGCUUUUGCCAGCCUUCGCCAAAGCGUUUACCAAACUGCACGUGGUAAUUUCGUUUACCAAAAUGCACAAGCUCAUGGCAAAAUCCCGCUGCGGGGACGGGGAUGUGGUGUGUGCAGCACAGGCAGAGACACCGCGGGCUCCCUUGGAUGCGGGAUGCAAGAUGCUGCGGGAUGCAAGAUGCAGGACUCAGGCUCCUCUCUUCCCCCCGGCAGGAACUACGAGUCGCUGAUGCUCGUGCGGUGCCGAGAGGCAGCAGAGGAGGGCCGGGUGUGAAAUCCACGGCUGUGGGAACCAGUGCUGCUCCCUCCUCCCACCGAGCCCAAGUGUCACAUUGGUGGCAUCCCAGCGCAGGGGCUGUGCAGCACCCACAGAUGGGGAGGUGCAUAGGCAAGCUGGCACGGAGCGGCUUUGCCCUCUCCCGGGGCUGACGACAAGCUGGUCACAUUCUUGAAGCCAGAAUAUGACACUUUUACAGCCUGCCUGGCGGUGACCUCUGGAAUUCCAGAAUAAUUUUCCCUCCCCUUCCUGGUGCCCUCACGUGACCCAGGAACACAAACAUCUGAGAGACCUCUGGGCAUCUUCACAUCUGCUGGUAGCAGUGACCUCCAGAAGCAUUUGGUUCUGCCAGAGCAAUGACAGCACCUCUGCCAUGACACUGCCAGCGGGAGAGCUAGAUGCAACCGGGAGUUGUUUGGUUUCCUGAGGAAAAGAGAACACUUCCAGAAACAAUUAAGCUGAAGGCAAAACCAGGUGGAGGGGGACAUGUGAGCCCUAGCAACCAUCACAGUAGGCAUGCUCUGUCCCUGGAAGAAGGGCAGGUGAGAAAAGCAAAUGGGCCCUGCUGUCUGGAUGAUGCCACACAAAACCCAUGGAGGAUAUACCCUUCAAAAUUGACAAAAAUAGCAUUCAGAGGCAGAGCAAUGGUAAGUUUUUUGGUGCAGAAAGUUAAAAAUAUGCUGUAUUAAUAUUUUAUAUAUACACACAUUUAUGCAAUGUGAUCAAAAUAGGCCAGUCUAUGGCUGACAUACAUAGUUCUAUCACAGCUAUAUAGGAUAUAUGAUACUGCACUCCAAAAGUGAGUUACUUGCACAAGUACUGAUGUCUUCAUUACAAGCAACAAAUGCCCUUGCAGAAUCAGACACCCAAAAUCACUCAUAGGUGCUUCUAUGAGGCUUGAUCACUAUGACUUGUUAUCUAAUUUUUUACUUUAAAAAUGCACACUGUCUUCUUUGUGAUGCAUUUUUCACUAUUUCAAUUUCCAUCUUUUUGGGAGAUCCUUAAUGUCCACAAUUUUGGUGGAGAUGCCGCCAAAAUUAAACUGAGUCAUGUUUCUUAGCACAGUUUAUAAAGAAAAAUGUUUAAUCUUCCAUGGCACACCUUAGAGCCUAACUGAAGAACAGCCUCAAACAUUGGUCUUUUGGUAAAGUACAAGUUUUAAAAACAGUAAUUUAACAGGGUUAUGAUGCAAACGCAUUUCUUUAACCUCCAUAAUUUUCUGGCAUUUCUCUGAGUUCAGUGAAUACACAUGAAGUGCUUGCACCCACAUCAGAGGCAUGCCAGAAAUGAAGCAUGUCCAGUCCUCUCUGGGACAAGUCCCCUGUCACCUUUCCUUGGGAGUGCCAGUCUGAAGACAGUUCCCUAAAACUCUGUUCUACCUUCAAGUCACCUUUUCCAACUAACCUAAUAUAGUGGAGAGAAGGGUGGGUUUCUGACAAAGUUUUGUCUCCCUUAUAAAGACAGGAAACCUCUCAAAGCUCUCCUAAAUAAUGUUCAUAUACUUCCAAGGACCAUGUUCACAUUUUACCACCAAACAAUUAUUAGAAAGCAAUGUUAUCUACAUACUCUGUUUCCCCACAGCUCCUCACAUGUAUGUCCCCAUUGGCUGAAUGCACCUGUGAUCACCCACAGCCACACCACAACCUCUCCUCCAAGGUGUGGCCCAGAAUAUCUAUCCCUAAAUGUGUCAUUCAUAGAAAGUUUUUAGAGUUCUUGUCAGGCUCCCACAAGUUUAAAAGGAUAUUUGGCUGUAUCAGAGGGAUGACAUAAAAAAGGAUGUCCAAGGUGGCUCAGACCAUUGGAGACAAGAAAGAUCUUGGCAUGUUCCCAGUUUAAAGAGUCUUUUACAGCAAUAGACUUUCCUCCUGAGAUAAUCCAGGUCUCUAUCAGUGAUGCAACCAAGAAAGCAUCACUGUUUAAAUUCAGCCAGUGAAUAGUGAGAGUAGCAGGACCAUGGCAAGGUGAAGGGAUUGACACCUACUUUGGGGUGAGAAAUGUCACAAGGUGUGUAUGUGUCCAUACACAGAAGGGCUGUGGUUUCUUAAGCUUCAGAGGGGCAUCCAGAGGUACUAUGACUUGCACUAGGAAAGACUUUGAUGUGUUGUAAUUUGGUUGCCUUCAGCAUGGAAAUCCUUGUUAUGGUGGUUCUGUAGCUUCAUUUGAAGGUGCUUUAAACCAUUUUAUUUUUAAGAUCUAUCAGAUAAAUGGUAGAACAAACCUUUGAGCUAGCUGGUAAUGCAUGCUUUAGGUUACUUUAUCUCUGGGAAUGGGCCAAAGUGGUUUCUGUCUGUGUGCGUGUGCCUGUGUAAUUAGCCCGCAAAUUCAGACUCAGAUAAAAAUAACUCGGCAAUGAAUGUAAAUUAUCAGGGCCACGAUACACAUGGCUCCUAAAAUGUGAUUCCCAUGCACUGAGAAAACAGGGAUUGUAAAAAGUUAGAGAAAUCUCAACUUUCAUUUCAAUCCCUGGAAAAUGCUCUGGGAGAACAUAGAUACUCCCUCACUUUAGUACCUUUCUAAAAAGGGCAGGAAAGCAGAAAAGCUGGACCAUGCCUGAGGAAGUGCCUAGGACACUAAAGCCGGUGGCAGAGUCUAGGCAGAUGUUGAGAAGGGAGGCCAUGGGUUGCAGAGGUUGCAGGUUUGGAAGCAGCUUGCUGCCAUGGAGGACCCAGCAGGGUGUGUGACAAUUCACACCUCCUAUCCCAGGCUCACCAGCAAAGAGCUCAAGAAAAGCCAAGCUCAGGUCAUCUGCUGACAGAGAAGACCUUUUAUAUCCCACCUGUCUGGAUUGCACAGGUGAGAGUCUGGGCACACUCAGGCUUUUGGCCACCCCUCCAAAGCACUUCAGGGACAUCAUUGCCCCAUAAGCAGCUCCAGGGCUUGCACCUCAGGUAGUGCCUACAACAUGUGGACAUUCCUUCCUGCAACCGGGCAGUCUUGUGCAUGCAGAGCAGCCUCCAGGAACCUCCACCCAGCAUUUUUUUUCCUUCCCUGCAACAUGCCAUGACUGUGGCCAGAAGUGCCUCCACAGAGAUGAUAGAAAACCUAUGAUGAUAUGGAAACAGAUCUUCAACUAUCCUCUUUUGUCUCUUCACAGGAACUAGGACACACUGUGGCAGUGCAAACUCCUGCUGCCACCAGUAGCCCUUGCUGCCACUGGAGUUGUACUGGCAUUAGUAAUGACAGAAAAAUUCAAGAGCCAUCUCUGGAGGGCAUUGUCCCAAGAUACUUUCUACUGAUACUUUCCCAGAAUGAGUUCAGAGGAGCUGUAAGCAGCCACUGUUGGCACACCUGGGCAAUGUCACAUGCUGUAGGGAGAUGCAAGGGAAUGGAAAUACAUGGAAACAUGAUGCUACCAGAAAGAACUAUAGCUGUAAAAUUUAAUAGUGUGAUUUGUGAAGCUGACAACACCCACCAUAAGUCACAAAAUAAAACAGAAAUGCACGGAAACUGUAAAUCUUUCUGAGCACAAUUGGUGUAAACCCUUGUUAAGUUUUAUCGCAAAGAAGUACAAACAUCAUAUAAAUUCCAAACAUCAUUUUCCUGUUCCUAGCCUUGUCUCUUCUCCAAGCAGUAGUCUGGAGCCCACCAGGGAAAGGACACUUUAUCUUUCCUCACUGCUUCUCACUCCACUCUUUUUAUCCUCUUCACCUUGUUUUGCACAGGGAGGUAACCCUUCUUUUGGAAUCCCAAGAGGAAAGGAACCAACACUUUCAAGACAGAUAACUUUUAAUACAGUAAGAGGUAGGAGACACGGAGUUAUAAAAACCAGCACCCUAUCCUGUGAUGGGGAGCUCACGAUGGUAAGAUGGGCUCUGGUCAGAGUGUGCAGCUCUAUGUUUCCAUGCACACUGACACUGCCCAGAUCAUGGUACAGGUUCAUUUGACUCUCAUGGGAAGAGAGGCUGAGUUCCAGACCAGCUGGGUGAAUCCCUGUCCAAGAUGGUUUUCCACUUAUCCUGUGUUUCUACAGCAGAGUGAUUGCUGACAUCAGGAACAUCAGAGAAGUCACAGCAGAGCAGCCCUGCUCUGCUGACUGGAGAAAGUGCCAAGCACAGAGAGGCUGACCUGUCCAUUCCAAAUCAAACCUCUCCAUUACCUCCUGUGGGUCACUGUCACACUGGGUAACAGGAUACAGCAGAUCUUGUGGGAGGAUGGGACCUAUGCAUGACCUAUGGCUUCAGCCCCAAAGAGUGGAUGGGAAUAGUGCUGAAAUCCUUUUGCAUCAUUUGACCUGUAACAGUCCAGCUGUAUAUAAUUUUCCUAUAGGAGAAGAAUAAAUAGAUGGCACUACUCAAAAACGUCCCAGAAUUUUGCAAGACAUUCAGUUCCAGGCUUUGAAAUACAAUCCACUUAAUCAACCAUUUUUCACUGGAAUGACACUGGGUCAGUCCAGUAGUUUUUGAGGUUUACACUCAGCUGUAGUUUUGCUUGGAAUGUGAACAUCACUAAUAAUAGAAUGGACAUCCCCAGCUAAUUUUUGAAAGGGAGAAAAUUGCUUGGUUUUCCCUCUAAUGAAUACCUCUGAGGUCCUGCACUAAAGAACUCUGAACACAGAAGGUUAUAAAAAAUAAAUUAGUUCUCUCCCUCCUUUUCUCCCUGCCAUCUCCAACAUUCUCACUCCCCAGUGCCAACUGCAUGCCACGGCAUUUUUAUACUCAGUCACCUACUUCAGGAAGGACAUAUUUUGAAGCCACCAUUGCACUUCCCACUGCUCAGCUAUGUAUACCUUCAUUUAUGAGCCAUGACAUGGGAUGUGGAUUUGUAUCCCAACAAAAACGUGCUGAGGGUCUCCAUGUGUACUUAACACCAUCCACUUACCACUCACACAGGUGAGCAGGGAAUGGAGUAAUUUGAUUCCCAGUAUGACCAGCACUGCCAGGCAAUGCUAGAGCACUGCUGUUCACUUGUUUGCAGAGCCUUGCACAAUGUUCAGGACCCCAGGCAGGGCCAUGGAGCAGUGGCCCCUGUGUGCAGGGUGAUGGGAUGUGCUGCAUGUGCCAUGCUGAGUCCUCUGCACCCAUGGGCACAGUGCAGCCUGAUAGGUGUGACAGUGGAGCACAGGAGCUGCUGGCCAGGGAGGAUCUCUUAUGAGUGGGUGCCUGAACAGUACCCCCUGGGCUCAUGCCUCAACACGUCAAUGACUGCCCAUGAGAAAGCAGCUUCUCACUAUCAAGUGUUCUGCUAGCAUGCAACUUAGUAAUGCUACCUAAGCCAAGGUUUCAGCAUGGCUGUUUAUGUACACACGUUGUAUCUCAGGUUUGCUAACUACAGAUUGUUCAAGAAGCUUUAUUGAUUUUUUGAAAGAAUAACUGUUAUUUGACCAUUUUAAAUGCUAAAUAUGAUCAAGGCUUAAUAUCAGAAUGAUGAUUGAGUUAUGUUAUUUUUCAGUGCAUUGUAAUUUAUGUAACAAGAUUGCAUCUAUUCAUCUUUUGGGUACUUUUGAAAUAGAAAUAUUGACAGAAAGCUAAGUAUUCUUAAGUGCAACAAAUUUACCCAAAAUUUCUAUGUAUGGUUUAUAUUUAAUUUCACAGUCAACUGCAAGCUGACUCCAAAUCAAUGAUCUGAUUUUCUUUCCACCUGUGUUUGCAGAUGCCAUAUGAACUAGUGGCUAAAGGAGAUAAGGAUGUAUUAAUGACUUUUUACAAGUCCCUGGUGAGAGUUUAUCUCAAAUGCUGUGUAUCACUUUGAUGUUCUCCUUUCAUGAAGGAAUUUGAGUUGGUGCCCACAACCAAGCAGAGUUAGAAUCAGUGACCCUGGAAUUAGCUUUCCAGUACUAUGUGCCAACUGGCAUAUGAGAAUGAACUGAAUUGAUUUAUUUUUCACAACUAUUCAAAUGAUUGCAAGAGCACAACCUCACUUCAAAGCAUACGCUAGAUUUAGCUGCAACUAUAGGGCAUCUCAUUUGGGUAAAAAAUACUGACUGGGAUAUAGACAAAGACACAGCUGUGUCUCUGGCAUUUGAAAAUGCAUUGCACUCGGGUCUUGGUGAGGUGAUUUCUCAGCUCCACUGAAUCACAGGUAGUCUUACCACUAGUUUUAAUGCAAGAUCAUCACUUCUAGAAUUAGCUGAAAUCUGUGCUAUUAUCCGUAUUUUCAAUUACAUUGUUGAGAUCAGAAUCUGGUCCUUGUUUUCCUUUUUGGUGAACUAAUAUAUUUAGAAGCAGAAUCUUAAAUUCCUCUAAAAGUUUGUAAAACUCACAUCUCCAGACCCUUCCGCAACAUCAAAUUCCCCGCUUAGCAUGCCAGCUCUCCCAAUGAAGAUUUUACUUCCAAGCCUUCUGCCCAAGAUCCCCUGAAAGGUCUAUUCCCAUUCAGGAUGGAGUGAGUGGAGUGACCCAGGGUGGAGCAAACUGCCUUGUGCUGACUGGUCCAUGAUAACCUCUAUUAAAAGUGCUGGUUCCUGUCCGUGUGCUGAGGGAGGCAGCAGUUUUUGCAAAGCAGCUACAGAGAGGCAGAUUGCCAGGAGGGAUGCAAGGCAUGGCAGACACAAGCUUCCAAGGACACCAGAAGCAGAGGACCCAAAAUAACUACUUGGAAUUGUUUAUGCCUGUGUCUGGCCUUGUUGGUUUUACUCUUUCAAAGCUCUUGGGCUUGAGGGGUGUUUGUAGCAUAUAACCCAAAGCAUCUCACCUAGUGACCAAUGUGUGGUACCAGCUAUCAUGGCCAUUUUGGCAAUGCCUCCCCAGACACCUGUGGGCAGGCUACUACUGCCAGGGAGCCUUCCCUCCUCGGGCACUGCACAGCAGAGCCUGCCUGCCUUGCUUCACCCCCUGCACUGCAUGCCUCAGAUUGCGCUGUGUGAGUACUCACGCGCACACACACACAUCCCUUCUCCCCUUUCACCUCCUCCCCUCGGGUCCAAAUGGAUCCAUGAGUCACUGAGGGAAGUGCACCUGAUGACCUCAGCCAUAGAACCAACAUGAAGCAUCAAAAAGCAACCUCAUGUGGGAGCUGGGGACCAAGCUAGCUGAAGCCUAACUGGUGAGAUAUUCAUAUCUGGGGUUUUAUCCACUUUCACAGCAUUUUCCAAGCAAUAGCAGUUCUUCACUGUAGGAGUUUGACAGAUAUUCAGACUUCGAAGAGGUACAUAAAAAUUUACAUCUGGGACAUUAUGUGAUAUGUCUGACUGAACAAAAUGCAAAUAACUGAAUUGUCAGAGAUGGAAAGAUUAUUUAAAGCUUAAAGGUUGCUUUUAAUCUACAGAUGUAUCUGGCAUUGAUUGGAAUAAAGAAGUUUAAUAUGAUCAGAAGCAGAAGCAUGAACUUUUGCUAUUGGUACUGUUUGUGCAUCAUUAAAAGGGAUGGAGAAAAUAAUUCUGGAAAAAUUAAAUUGUCAUAAAUACCAACAAUAUUUCAGUGACCAUGUGAGAAUGCGUGUUGGUGUAUUUAAAUUGGUCAAGAGUUUCUUGAAUGUUUUCUGAGGCAGGA
Molecule: non-coding RNA, 8248 nt
Organism: Cyanistes caeruleus (blue tit)
Lineage: Eukaryota; Metazoa; Chordata; Aves; Passeriformes; Paridae
Source: RefSeq, a predicted model, not a curated record